RNAcentral lists this ribosomal RNA (484 nucleotides) under uncultured bacterium. RNAcentral's name for it is "partial 16S ribosomal RNA". It matches the Rfam family "Bacterial small subunit ribosomal RNA", at positions 30 to 507 of the family's 1533-position model. The record is from RNAcentral.
AUUGAACGCUGGCGGCAUGCCUAACACAUGCAAGUCGAGCGGCUGAAGGGGGCUUGCUCCUUGAUUCAGCGUCGGACGGGUGAGUAAUGUAUAUGAAACUGUCUGGUGGUGGGGGAGAACGUCCGGAGACGGGCGGUAAUAUCGCAUACGUGCUGCGGGGGUAAGAGGGGGGGCCCUUGAGCCCACGCUCUAAGGGGUGCCUAGGUCGGAUUAGCUAGUUGGUGGGGUAAAGGCCUACCAAGGCGACGAUCCGUAACUGGUCUGAGAGGAUGAUCAGCCACACUGGAACUGAGACACGGUCCAGACUCCUACGGGAGGCAGCAGUGGGGAAUAUUGGACAAUGGGCGAAAGCCUGAUCCAGCCAUGCCGCGUGUGUGAAGAAGGUCUUCGGAUUGUAAAGCACUUUAGUUUGGGAAGAAGGGCAGUAAGUUAAUACCGUGCUGUUUUGACGGUACCAAAAGAAUAAGCACCGGCUAACUACGUG